AUUUGAUGUUAAAACAUUGUAUGAUUCAGCAUGAUUUUAAUUGGUUAACAACAUGUUUUUUAUGUUUAAAAUCCAUGUUGAAAAUCAUGUGUUAUUCUGGAAAUUAUUGUCACUGCCAGUCAGACAAUCGAUUGUUGCCUUAAACAAUCGAUUGUCUGAGACGUUAAAUAUUCUGGCAGUUAUUUUGGAACACCAGACAACCGAUUGUUAAAGCCUG
This 217-nucleotide long non-coding RNA is filed under the name Nicotiana benthamiana. Its description in RNAcentral is "long non-coding RNA (NBEN_LNC012568)". The record is from RNAcentral. Lineage: Eukaryota; Viridiplantae; Streptophyta; Magnoliopsida; Solanales; Solanaceae.